RNAcentral lists this long non-coding RNA (1508 nucleotides) under Volvox carteri. Its description in RNAcentral is "long non-coding RNA (VCAR_LNC001007)". The record is from RNAcentral. Lineage: Eukaryota; Viridiplantae; Chlorophyta; Chlorophyceae; Chlamydomonadales; Volvocaceae.
AAAUCUAUUAGCGUACUAGGCUCUUUGCGGGACGGAAGCUAGCAGCGCUACUCGUGCGUGCACUGACAUAAUACACAAGCGGGAUGCACGGUCCUGCAAUAAAGUAUGCGCGUCGUAUUGACCUGCUCAACAUGCAGGCCGGUAAAGGCUGCCCUGUGUCACGGCGUCGUGAUUCCAUAUAUAUGUAUUGUCAAAUGGAGAACAAUGAAAGCAAGUCACCAUCGUAGUAGCAGUGCUGGUUAAUGUACCUGUGCUCCCCUCAACCUUCAGUCUUAAUAAUUUAGAUAAGAGCGAUUUUGACUCAUGCAUUAAGUUUCCUUCGCCCGCCUGCAGGAAUCAGCGGCUGCGGCCAAGGCCCAGUUUGACAAGUUCGUGUUGGACAAGACGGAGGAGAAAGCGGCCUUUGACCUGGUGCUGGAAAAGACGGCGGCUGAGGCGGCGGCACAGAAGGCCAUUGCUGACAAGGCGUUAGUUGACUUCGGCGAGCUGCAGGUAUUGUGCUUGGGGAAGGGUCUCGCGUACUUCGAGGAGGUCUGGAUUGAUAAUCACCCCAAAUUCUGCUGCUCACGAGCAGGAGUCUUCAACGGCUGCUAAGGCCCAGUUUGACAAGUUCGUAUUGGACAAGGCGGAGGAGAAAGCGGCCUUUGACUUGGUGCUGGAGAAGACGACGGCUGAGGCGGCGGCACAGAAGGCCAUUGCUGACAAGGCGUUAGUGGACUUCGGCGAGCUGCAGGUAUUGUGCUUGGGGAAGGGUCUCGCGUACUUCGAGGAGGUCUGGAUUGAUAAUCACCCCAAAUUCUGCUGCUCACGAGCAGGAGUCUUCAACUGCCGCCAAGGCCCAGUUUGACAAGUUCGUGUUGGACAAGGCGGAGGAGAAAGCGGCCUUUGAUCUGGUGCUGGAGAAGACCACAGCUGAGGCGGCGGCACAGAAGGCCAUUGCUGACAAGGCGUUAGUGGACUUCGGCGAGCUGCAGGUAUUGUGCUUGGGGAAGGGUCUCGCGUACUUCGAGGAGGUCUGGAUUGAUAAUCACCCCAAAUUCUGCUGCUCACGAGCAGGAGUCUUCAACUGCCGCCAAGGCCCAGUUUGACAAGUUCGUGUUGGACAAGGCGGAGGAGAAAGCGGCCUUUGAUCUGGUGCUGGAGAAGACGACAGCUGAGGCGGCGGCACAGAAGGCCAUUGCUGACAAGGCGUUAGUGGACUUCGGCGAGCUGCAGGUAUUCUGCUUGGGAAAGGGUCUCGCGUACUUCGAGGAGGUCUAUUAUUGAUAAUUAACCCAAAAUUGGCUGCUCACGAGCAGGAGUCUUCAACUGCCGCCAAGGCCCAGUUUGACAAGUUCGUGUUGGACAAGGCGGAGGAGAAAGCGGCCUUUGACUUGGUGCUGGAGAAGACGACGGCUGAGGCGGCGGCACAGAAGGCCAUUGCUGACAAGGCGUUAGUGGACUUCGGCGAGCUGCAGGUAUUCUGCUUGGGAAAGGGUCUCGCGUACUUCGAGAAGGUUUGUUUUGAU